AACACUGUUAACCUGCGGUACCUGCGGAAGGAUCAUCAUCGAACUCAUAUCCUUCUCCGACCGGAGGAGGACCUAUGAUAAACCCUUAUGUGCACCGUAAACCGUUCACUUUGGCAGGCUUUGGUGAGCGUGAGCUCGUCAACCUCGCGUUCCCUCCCUAGGGGGUUGCGCGUGGCGGCCUGCCGGAGUCCUCCAAUGAAAAAUACGUUUUCGAACACGACUGAAAUUUCCUUUGAGAAA
This 240-nucleotide unclassified non-coding RNA is filed under the name soil metagenome. RNAcentral describes it as "partial contains 5.8S ribosomal RNA, internal transcribed spacer 2, and large subunit ribosomal RNA". The record is from RNAcentral.